RNAcentral lists this ribosomal RNA (515 nucleotides) under uncultured bacterium. RNAcentral describes it as "partial 16S ribosomal RNA". It matches the Rfam family "Bacterial small subunit ribosomal RNA", at positions 28 to 523 of the family's 1533-position model. The record is from RNAcentral.
GAUGAACGCUGGCGGCGUGCCUAAUACAUGCAAGUCGAGCGAAUGGAUUAAGAGCUUGCUCUUAUGAAGUUAGCGGCGGACGGGUGAGUAACACGUGGGUAACCUGCCCAUAAGACUGGGAUAACUCCGGGAAACCGGGGCUAAUACCGGAUAACAUUUUGAACCGCAUGGUUCGAAAUUGAAAGGCGGCUUCGGCUGUCACUUAUGGAUGGACCCGCGUCGCAUUAGCUAGUUGGUGAGGUAACGGCUCACCAAGGCAACGAUGCGUAGCCGACAUGAGAGGGGGAUCGGCCACCCUGGGACUGAGACACGGCCCAGACUCCUACGAGAGGCAGCAGUAGGGAAUCUUCCGCAAUGGACGGAAGUCUGACGUAGCAACGCCGCGUGAGUGAUGAAGGCUUUCGGGUCGUAAAACUCUGUUGUUAGGGAAGAACAAGUGCUAGUUGAAUAAGCUGGCACCUUGACGGUACCUAACCAGAAAGCCACGGCUAACUACGUGCCAGCCGCCGCGGUAA